UGGGGAAUUGUUCACAAUGGGCGCAAGCCUGAUGACGCAACGCCGCGUGGAGGAUGAAGGUCUUCGGAUCGUAAACUCCUGUUGCUCGGGACGAAAAGCUACGACCUAAUACGUCGGAGUCUGACGGUACCGAGUGAGGAAGCCCCGGCUAACUCUGUGCCAGCAGCCGCGGUAAUACAGAGGGGGCAAGCGUUGUUCGGAAUUACUGGGCGUAAAGGGCGCGUAGGCGGCCUGUUAAGUCGAACGUGAAAUCCCCGGGCUCAACCCGGGAACUGCGUCCGAAACUGGCAGGCUCGAAUUCGGGAGAGGGAUGCGGAAUUCCAGGUGUAGCGGUGAAAUGCGUAGAUAUCUGGAGGAACAUCGGUGGCGAAGGCGGCAUCCUGGACCGAUAUUGACGCUGAGGCGCGAAAGCCAGGGGAGCAAACGG
RNAcentral lists this ribosomal RNA (427 nucleotides) under uncultured bacterium. Its description in RNAcentral is "bacterial SSU rRNA". It matches the Rfam family "Bacterial small subunit ribosomal RNA", at positions 355 to 775 of the family's 1533-position model. The record is from RNAcentral.